UACGUAGGGUCCGAGCGUUGUCCGGAAUUACUGGGCGUAAAGAGCUCGUAGGUGGUUUGUCGCGUUGUUCGUGAAAACUCACAGCUCAACUGUGGGCGUGCGGGCGAUACGGGCAGACUAGAGUACUGCAGGGGAGACUGGAAUUCCUGGUGUAGCGGUGGAAUGCGCAGAUAUCAGGAGGAACACCGGUGGCGAAGGCGGGUCUCUGGGCAACAACUGACGCUGAGACGCGAAAGCGUGGGGAGCAAACAGG
Molecule: ribosomal RNA, 253 nt
Filed under: uncultured bacterium
Lineage: Bacteria
Description: partial 16S ribosomal RNA
Rfam family: Bacterial small subunit ribosomal RNA
Source: RNAcentral